Molecule: non-coding RNA, 72 nt
Organism: Diaporthe sp. PMI_573
Lineage: Eukaryota; Fungi; Ascomycota; Sordariomycetes; Diaporthales; Diaporthaceae
Source: the annotation of a GenBank genome assembly
GGUCCUUUGGCGCAAUGGUAGCGCGUCACUUUCCGGUGGUGAAGGUUCACGGUUCGAGUCCGUGGAGGAUCG